RNAcentral lists this ribosomal RNA (450 nucleotides) under Capitella biota. Its description in RNAcentral is "partial 16S ribosomal RNA". It matches the Rfam family "Bacterial large subunit ribosomal RNA", at positions 1928 to 2610 of the family's 2925-position model. Lineage: Eukaryota; Metazoa; Annelida; Polychaeta; Capitellidae. The record is from RNAcentral.
CGGCUGCGGUAGCGUGACCGUACUAAGGUAGCAUAAUAACUUGCCUUUUAAUUGGAGGCUGGUAUGAAUGGAUAUACGAGGGUAACGCUGUCUCAAUCUCACAUAUAAAAUUUAGAGUUUAGGUGAAGAUACCUAAAUGUUUUAAAAAGACAAGAAGUCCCCAUAGAGCUUUAGUAGAUUAAUUGAAGGUUUUAAAUUAUAUUGCUUUGGUUGGGGCGACAGAGGGCCAACUAUAGCGCCCUUUUUCUAUUUUGAGAAAUAGCUCUUUUAGUUGAUCCAUGUGAAGUGAUUAGAAGAAAAAGCUACCUUGGGGUUAACAGGCUAAUCAACUCAAAGAGCUCAUAUUGAUGAGUUGGUUUGGCACCUCGAUGUUGGCUCAGGGUUUCCCACAGGUGCAGAAGUUUGUGAUGGUAGGUUUGUUCACCCUUUAAAACCCUACGUGAUCUGAGU